CCUGGCGGGGAUAGCGCGGUGGUCCCACCUGACCCCAUGCCGAACUCAGAAGUGAAACGCCGUAGCGCCGAUGGUAGUGUGGGGUUUCCCCAUGCGAGAGUAGGGAACUGCCAGGC
Molecule: ribosomal RNA, 116 nt
Filed under: Escherichia albertii
Lineage: Bacteria; Pseudomonadati; Pseudomonadota; Gammaproteobacteria; Enterobacterales; Enterobacteriaceae
Source: RNAcentral